AGAGUUUGAUCAUGGCUCAGAAUGAACGCUGGCGGCGUGCUUAACACAUGCAAGUCGAACGAUGAAGUCUAGCUUGCUAGAUGGAUUAGUGGCGCACGGGUGAGUAAUGCAUAGGUAACGUGCCCCUUAGUCUGGGAUAGCCACUGGAAACGGUGAAUAAUACUGGAUACUCCUUCUACCUUGAUGGUAGUUGGGAAAGUUUUUCGCUAAGGGAUCGGCCUAUGUUGUAUCAGGUAGUUGGUGAGGUAAUGGCUCACCAAGCCUAUGACACAUAGCGGGUCUGAGAGGAUGAUCCGCCACACUGGUACUGAGACACGGACCAGACUCCUACGGGAGGCAGCAGUGGGGAAUAUUGCACAAUGGACGAAAGUCUGAUGCAGCAACGCCGCGUGGAGGAUGACACAUUUCGGUGCGUAAACUCCUUUUAUAUGAGAAGAUAAUGACGGUAUCAUAUGAAUAAGCACCGGCUAACUCCGUGCCAGCAGCCGCGGUAAUACGGAGGGUGCAAGCGUUAUUCGGAAUCACUGGGCGUAAAGGGUGCGUAGGCGGUUUGAUAAGUCUGAUGUGAAAUCCUACAGCUUAACUGUAGAACUGCAUUGGAAACUGUCAGACUAGAAUACUGAAGGGGCAGAUGGAAUUAGUGGUGUAGGGGUAAAAUCCGUAGAUAUCACUAGGAAUACCGAAAGCGAAAGCGAUCUGCUGGGAAGUUAUUGACGCUGAGGCACGAAAGCGUGGGGAGCAAACGGGAUUAGAUACCCCGGUAGUCCACGCCCUAAACGAUGAAUGCUAGUCGUCGGAAAGCUCGUCUUUUCGGUGAUGCAGUUAACACAUUAAGCAUUCCGCCUGGGGAGUACGGUCGCAAGAUUAAAACUCAAAGGAAUAGACGGGGACCCGCAC
This 897-nucleotide ribosomal RNA is filed under the name uncultured Sulfurimonas sp. Its description in RNAcentral is "bacterial SSU rRNA". It matches the Rfam family "Bacterial small subunit ribosomal RNA", at positions 8 to 926 of the family's 1533-position model. Lineage: Bacteria; Pseudomonadati; Campylobacterota; Epsilonproteobacteria; Campylobacterales; Sulfurimonadaceae. The record is from RNAcentral.